This 77-nucleotide transfer RNA is filed under the name Vibrio chagasii. RNAcentral describes it as "tRNA-Glu". It matches the Rfam family "tRNA". From Rfam's summary of the family: Transfer RNA (tRNA) molecules are approximately 80 nucleotides in length. Their secondary structure includes four short double-helical elements and three loops (D, anti-codon, and T loops). Lineage: Bacteria; Pseudomonadati; Pseudomonadota; Gammaproteobacteria; Vibrionales; Vibrionaceae. The record is from RNAcentral.
ACUCCUGUCGUCUAGUUGGCCUAGGACAGCGCCCUUUCACGGCGUCAACGCGAGUUCGAAUCUCGUCAGGAGUGCCA